This 1788-nucleotide long non-coding RNA is filed under the name Homo sapiens (human). RNAcentral describes it as "HSALNT0097401". Lineage: Eukaryota; Metazoa; Chordata; Mammalia; Primates; Hominidae. The record is from RNAcentral.
GGGCAAGUUGCCUGGUCUGGGAAAACGAGGGUUGGCUAAAACUCCCCACUGAGGUUCAGUUGUUACUUCCUCUUGGGAAAUCUUCCCUGAACCUCUCAGGCUGAGUGGCAUCCCUCUGGGAUCCCAUCAGACCCUGCAUGUACCUCUGUCUUUUCACUUAACCUGUGAUCAUCCUGUGUCUGCAUAUUUUAUCAGACCCUCAAUUCCUUGAGUGCAAAGAACAUACUUUAAAAGUUUUGUUCUUCCAGCACUUAGCAAAUUACUCAGCACAUAGUAGGCACGAACACCAAUUCAUUGGUUGAACUGGCCAGACAGUGAAAACUGAGGAAGAAGAAGACAGCAAGUGUGAAAAGAAGACCAAAGCUGUCUCUAGUUACAGCGUAAUGUAAAUCCCCAUAGCAGGAAAUGGCCGCCUUUUUCAGUCCUAGGAAAUGGAAAUGGAGAACGUUUUUCCCAAGGCGCCACUCAAUGGAGUUUAAGCCAUUCUCCAUAGGCAGGGAGAUGUUGCAGCGUCCAAUGGUGGGGGUGAUGGUGCCCGCUAGGACAUGGGGCUCGCUGUGGAAGCUGAUACCCAUCCCAUUAGCAUACAUCACCCUCAGGGUACCAUUAUUACAGAGCUGGUAGCUGUUCCGAACUUGAUCUGGAAAAAUGUUUCCAUGGUACUUUGCAGCCAUUAGUCGAAGGCUGCCUUCAAUUAGCACACAUACAUACCAUGUGAAGCCACAGGCCAGAUCCACUACAAAUCAAAGCCCAGGAUUCUUUCUUUGAGAAAAUGGAGAGAAGAAGUCAACCUUCCCCAUCCUCAUGCUUUUACUGCCGACUGCACCUGAUACCACCCCCACUCAAGAGAACUCUGAAGAGACUCAAAUACAUCAGGGAGCUGGAGUCAGUGGGUGGGUGCUGAUAAUGUGUUUAUCUUCCCCAGUGGAAACUACACGAGUCAAUCAGACGUCUGACCUUUUCCUUUACCGAAAAGUUACGGGAAGGAAAUGUGAGUCAGAGACUCCUUUUACAGAUACACUGCUUCCUGACUGUCUGGGCAAAGGAGCUGGCCUGGGCUGGCCUCUGAGAUGUCAGCUUUUGGGGCAGUGAGCAAGUGUGUACCUGUCGCUCCUGUGACUCCAGCCGUCACACGCAGAAGGACAGAAUCUACAUCAUUAAUCAUUUGGCAGAGCAGAAAUAGAGUCAUUGAAACAGGCUCCGCUGUGGGAUAAUAGUCCAGAAAUGUCACCAUUUAUCUACUGAGAGGACACUUUUAUCCUCUGACAACGGGCUAGCCCACCGACAUUAUAUCUUAAUUAAAAGAAAAAUUAAUCGGCACAAUUCAUUUUCUUGCCAGCCCCAGUGCUUGCCCUGGACUGCAAAACAUGUCUAGUAGCAACAAUAACCACAGGGUGGGCAGAGACCUUUGAGAUCCCAGUCUUGGAGAGAGAAUGUUAAAGAGCUCCAGUCCCAGGGCAACCAACUCAUCAAACAAAUGCUUAAAAGAGAGAAUCAGGAUGGAACAAGAAAAUAUGAAGUCUAGUGGUGAGCCAGGAGAAUAAAUGGCCUUUGAGAAGAUAACUAUGUGUUUUGGGUUGGUGGGGAGAGGUGGUGAUGGAAGGGUAAGAGGUAGGGAGAGAGUAUGUGGGGGGCGGGUGGAAAUGGACAUUUUCAGAUAACUAUGUAGACAGUUCAAAUAUCUAGACAUUUGGCUGGGUGUAGAUGACAUUCUGUUCUAUCUGAUUAAGUCAUUUUCUACAAGAUUGACCUCUUAUAGUUUGCUGUGGACACUUGAAUAAAAUAGAA